RNAcentral lists this ribosomal RNA (492 nucleotides) under uncultured bacterium. RNAcentral describes it as "partial 16S ribosomal RNA". It matches the Rfam family "Bacterial small subunit ribosomal RNA", at positions 29 to 507 of the family's 1533-position model. The record is from RNAcentral.
AGUGAACGCUGGCGGUAGGCCUAACACAUGCAAGUCGAACGGCAGCACAGUAAGAGCUUGCUCUUACGGGUGGCGAGUGGCGGACGGGUGAGGAAUACAUCGGAAUCUACUUUUUCGUGGGGGAUAACGUAGGGAAACUUACGCUAAUACCGCAUACGACCUACGGGUGAAAUCAGGGGAUCUUCGGACCUUGCGCGAUUGAAUGAGCCGAUGUCGGAUUAGCUAGUUGGCGGGGUAAAGGCCCACCAAGGCGACGAUCCGUAGCUGGUCUGAGAGGGUGAUCAGCCACACUGGAACUGAGACACGGUCCAGACUCCUACGGGAGGCAGCAGUGGGGAAUAUUGGACAAUGGGCGCAAGCCUGAUCCAGCCAUACCGCGUGGGUGAAGAAGGCCUUCGGGUUGUAAAGCCCUUUUGUUGGGAAAGAAAAGCAGCAGGUUAAUACCCCGCUGUUCUGACGGUACCCAAAGAAUAAGCACCGGCUAACUUCGUG